RNAcentral lists this ribosomal RNA (500 nucleotides) under uncultured Glomus. RNAcentral's name for it is "SSU rRNA". It matches the Rfam family "Eukaryotic small subunit ribosomal RNA", at positions 591 to 1092 of the family's 1831-position model. The record is from RNAcentral. Lineage: Eukaryota; Fungi; Glomeromycota; Glomeromycetes; Glomerales; Glomeraceae.
CCAAUAGCGUAUAUUAAAGUUGUUGCAGUUAAAAAGCUCGUAGUUGAAUUUCGGGAUCAAUACGUCGGUCGUGCCUCUGGUAUGUACUGGUGUUAUUGAUUCCUCCUUUCUGAUGAACCAUAAUGUCAUUAAUUUGGUGUUGUGGGGAGUCAGGACUGUUACUUUGAAAAAAUUAGAGUGUUUAAAGCAGGCCUACGCUUGAAUACAUUAGCAUGGAAUAAUGAAAUAGGACGUUCGAACCUAUUUUGUUGGUUUUUAGGAUCAACGUAAUGAUUAAUAGGGAUAGGUGGGGGGAUUAGUAUUCAAUUGUCAGAGGUGAAAUUCUUGGAUUUAUUGAAGACUAACUACUGCGAAAGCAUUUGCCAAGGAUGUUUUCAUUAAUCAAGAACGAAAGUUAGGGGAUCGAAGACGAUCAGAUACCGUCGUAGUCUUAACCAUAAACGAUGCCGACUAGGGAUCGGAUGAUGUUAAUUUUUUAAUGACUCAUUCGGCGCCUUACG